UACCAGAGAUUAUGGCCAAAUUGCACG
This 27-nucleotide non-coding RNA is filed under the name Homo sapiens (human). Lineage: Eukaryota; Metazoa; Chordata; Mammalia; Primates; Hominidae. The record is from RNAcentral.